UGAGGAAUAUUGGACAAUGGGCGCAAGCCUGAUCCAGCCAUGCCGCGUGCAGGAAGAAGCAUCUAUGGUGUGUAAACUGCUUUUGUACGGGAAGAAACACUCCUACGUGUAGGAGCUUGACGGUACCGUAAGAAUAAGGAUCGGCUAACUCCGUGCCAGCAGCCGCGGUAGUACGGAGGAUCCAAGCGUUAUCCGGAAUCAUUGGGUUUAAAGGGUCCGUAGGCGGUUUAGUAAGUCAGUGGUGAAAGCCCAUCGCUCAACGAUGGAACGGCCAUUGAUACUGCUAGACUUGAAUUACAAGGAAGUAACUAGAAUAUGUAGUGUAGCGGUGAAAUGCUUAGAUAUUACAUGGAAUACCAAUUGCGAAGGCAGGUUACUACUUGUGGAUUGACGCUGAUGGACGAAAGCGUGGGGAGCGAACA
This 422-nucleotide ribosomal RNA is filed under the name uncultured bacterium. RNAcentral's name for it is "bacterial SSU rRNA". It matches the Rfam family "Bacterial small subunit ribosomal RNA", at positions 355 to 774 of the family's 1533-position model. The record is from RNAcentral.